AUGGCCCCUCACACUCUCUCUUGUGUUAGUGUGCCUCUGCUUGUCUUCUUGGCGUCGUUGACAUCCGUUGCAGCGGCGAGGGGGGCUCGGGCACCCAAAGCCGCUGACCCGUCCGAAGGGUUCACGGCGGUGAGCCUCCGCGAGAGCAACUUUGUGCUGCAGCAGCCGUUCAACGAGGCGAGCGGCACCCGGUACAGUUUCGACGGCACCGUGCGGAAGCUGUGGGUGCUCUCCUCAGACAAGCCCCAUGCCCGCCAGAGCCAUACCAGCCCAAGAACUGAGAUCAGGAUGGCUGGAUACGACUACAGCUCCGGCGUUUGGCAGUUCGAAGCCUACGGGUACGUCCCCUCCGGCACGACGGGGGUGUCCAUCAUGCAGGUGUUCGGCGCCGGCGAGACGGCCACCACGCUCAUGCUGCACGUCUACGACGGCGCGCUGCGGUACUACGACCGGCAGAUCGUCGAGGACGCCAUCUAUGACAGGUGGUUCCGGCUGAACGUUGUCCAUGACGUGGAUGCGUCGACGCUCACCGUGUACAUCGAUGGGCAGCAGAGGCUGCACGUCCACGGCCGCGGGGGCGACUCGCACUACUUCAAGUUCGGCGUGUACGCACAGAACCACGACUCCAGCUGCAUGGAGUCUCGCUGGAAAGGAGUCAGGAUCCUCAAGAAAGACACGUCACACUGA
This 687-nucleotide ribosomal RNA is filed under the name Triticum aestivum (bread wheat). RNAcentral describes it as "partial small subunit ribosomal RNA". Lineage: Eukaryota; Viridiplantae; Streptophyta; Magnoliopsida; Poales; Poaceae. The record is from RNAcentral.